This 48-nucleotide non-coding RNA is filed under the name Schistosoma mattheei. The record is from RNAcentral. Lineage: Eukaryota; Metazoa; Platyhelminthes; Trematoda; Strigeidida; Schistosomatidae.
AUCCAGCUGAUGAGUCUCAAAUAGGACGAAGUGGCACGCAUCUUGGAU